RNAcentral lists this long non-coding RNA (1240 nucleotides) under Struthio camelus australis. Its description in RNAcentral is "lncRNA (ENSSCUG00000004213.1)". The record is from RNAcentral. Lineage: Eukaryota; Metazoa; Chordata; Aves; Struthioniformes; Struthionidae.
GUUGGAGACAGGUUACUUGGCUAGAUGGAUUUUUGGUCUGACAGAUGAUGGCUAUUCUUCUAUAAGACUUUUAUAGGGUAAAGGAACUGAAGAGUGGAGAACCUUUAGUUCUCUGCUGUCUUGCAGCUAACAAAAGAAGAUUGUCUUUCAAGUUUAGCUUAGCUGAUAGCAUUUGGGCUCUAUCCAUCAAAAUCCAAACAAAAUUCUGAAUGUUGGCAUUCCAGGAAAUGUUAUCUCCAGAAAUACUUGCUAUCCUUUUCUGCUCCCUGCAACACAGAAACAUUCCUAUCAAUUCAGUACUCUGUUUAGUUUCUGUGUGGUUUUGGUGAGUGAUAUGCAAGCAUUGAAAUACAUGGUGCAGGCUGUCCCUAAAGUGUCAAAAUCAUCUGCAGUAUGCCUUUACUUCAGCUACCAAUUAUCUACAGAAAAAUCGCUGUCAAGGUACGGUUCGGAGGGAGGAGGUCACAAUGCAGCAAGAUGUUCCUUUUAUUAGAAGUCUGGAGGAGAAGUCUACAGCUUGCCUUCUGCAGAGAGUGGCUCAGAAGAGUCGGAGCUUCACUAAGGAAGAUAAGAGAGAAUGUCAAGCAAAAGUCACAAAUCUCUAGCACAGGUCCGCAAACAAAACCUACCUGCUUUUACACACCUGGUCUCGUGCCAAGCAUAAUUUCUUUGCCUAUGGAAGGUGGAGCUUAGAAGGAUAUGGUCUGGAUGUAUUUCCAAAUAACAGUUCAAUUCAGUGGUUUUAGACAGUCAUACUUGUCCAGCCUCAAGCCCAACAUUCAUCAGUCUUUGAAAGUGGCUGAAGUAAUUAAAAUAAUAGCAUACUUACCGGAAUUGAUUGAACUUGCUCAUUAAUCUUUUCAAUGAAUUGAUUGGUAAAUACAUUUUGAUGAAAACACAGAAUGGUACGUACAAACAUGGUACGCUCUAUAGGACUCCUUUGCUAGUGCUAGAGGUUUAAUGCAGACUUAUGAGUAAAAGAACUGUCCCAGCUAUACCAGACUGCAAGAUGACGUCCAGCAGAAUCAAGCAGCUUUUCUGAUGCAGCAAAGAAAUAAUUCGUCCAAAGAGAUGAACCCAUGAUGGUAUUAUUACUAACAACCCCCCAAACCAGCAUGUUUCAAAUGAUGCAUAGAUGGGUUAUAAUAACAAACCUUUCACCCAACUGCAUUGAUACUUUUUCGAAGUUAGUCUCAUACAGUCAUCUAACAGUUUAAUAGUGUUUUGAAAAUACACCCCG